GUUCGAUUAAACGUUUGCUAUAUUACGGAUCGCACUGAACAAGUUUCCACAAACCGUUCAACAUUCUUUUAGGACCCGGGAAGAGUUGCAGGGGAAAGAAGAGAAGAAUGUGCCUAUUUGAAAGCUAGAAAAAAGUAAAUUCCUGUCAAUAAACUGUUGGGCCCCAAGUAUGAUGCCAAUGUGCCAGAAGAUAACAGGUUUCAUCCAAGCAUGCUCUCCCAAUAUUUAAAGCGUCUCAAGGUUAAAAUGGGUUUGCUUGUUGAUCUAACAAACACUACCGACUUCUACAGUAUGACCCCAACGAGAUCGAGAACGAGGGUGUUAAAUGUGUGAAGCUUCAGUGCAAAGGGUACGUAUGAGUGACCUGUUUAAAACUCAAGAUUAAUUCUCCAUGUUUACAAAUGCCACUAGUUGAUUGAUCUGAUGUGAUGUGUUCGUUCCUUGUUUAACUAUGGAGAGUGUCCUUCAAGAGACUACUGAGAUGUUCAUCAGACUGGGCACUUCAUGGAGAAGACUACCACUGAUAGGUGUCCACUGCAUGUACGGCUUCAAUCGGACAGGCUUUCUGAUCUGUGCAUACCUGGUGUAGAAGAUGGAUUGGAGGUCAGUAUUGAGGCGGCGGUGGCUGCGUUCGCCCAGGCCCGCGCACCUGGGAUCUGCAAAUGCGACACCUCAAAGAGCUCUUCCGUCAUUGUGGACAUGCCUGGCCGCCCUCCCCCCAACCUGAUUGGUCAGUAGUCGUCUCAGUUGGGGACCCCCCUCUGGGUCGGUCCCGGGAAAACGGAGGAAGGAGAGAAAGUGGCCUUCAAGAGGUGCCCAAUCUGCCAGGGCACCAAGGCUAUAAACCAAAAUGUGGUUCUAACAUCUUCAAUAUGCACCUCAGAUUUUGAUAAGAACACGCGCCGUUGCAUCCCCGACAUGUCUGUCUUUUCUUGUAGCCUUCUUCGGGAGCUGCGAUUCUUGUGAGAAAAACCCGGUCACAUGACAGGCAUUGGCUAAUAAGAAUUGAUAUAUCUGAGAGAGCCAUGUGAGUAAAAGGUGCUUCGAGGAGGUGCGAUUGGCAGCUGGGAGAAGGGAAUUAUAAUUAUUAUGUUCAGCCCAAGGGCACAAAGGAUAUUUUUUUAGGGGCAUUCUGGCCACACAAGGGAGCAUCAAUGUGCAUGGCUGCCAAGGCCGCAAAGAAAUUCGAGGCAUGCCACCCUGUCUUUAUACUUUCCUGGGAUUUCUGUCCCAUCUCUCUCUUGUGCUGGGACCUGGGUGAGGAGACCUAGGCGGCAUCUGAAAUGGCACCCUGUUCCAUAUAUAGUGCUCUUUACUAGGUCCCAGCGCUCCCCAAACAGCAGGUGCACAAGACACCAGUCACUUAUCACCGUCCCUAAUGGGAACCGAGGAGAGAAGAAGCUAGUUGUCUUUAUGCUUCGUGCCUGUGUACACAGCCCUGCAUUCUGUACAGCAGCCCAGUUAUGUGGGAGGGUAUACAUUAGGAGGCUUUGGAAGCAGCGGACACUGCAGAUGUGACAGUCCAGGCCUGGGUAAACUACGGCCCAAGGAGAUGAUUAUCGACAAGGUGAACGGCCAGUCCGUCCCGCACUACCUGAUCUAUGACAUCAUUAAACUCAACGGUAGGCCAGUGUGAUUUCAAUGUUCGGCUAUUGUGAAAAGAGAAAGAGAUCAUCUCCCCUAGGGUGGAGAAGAUGAAGACGGGACAGAUCGACAAGACCAAGGAGCCCUUCAGUGUCAGGAACAAGCCAUUCUUCGGCAUCCACGCAGCACGAAAGAUGGCGUAUGGAUGGGUAGAAUGUCAUUCUCCAUGAAUACAAUUGCAACACAACAGAAAAAAAUAAGACUGUCCCCUAAUCUGAUGGAGCCAGUGCAGUGCUCGGGGAGCGUCCGUUGGAGCUGCCUUCAAAAGCUUCAGAGGAGAUUGAGUCUUUUUUCAGAGAGUAGGGUGGCACUAUCCUGUGGGUAUUCUAUGCGGUACCCAAGGCUUGGUCACGGGGCCAUGGUUGGCGGAGCGGUCUGUUUCCAUACCUAAAGCUACUGAUUAGUGCUCGGUGAUGAUAUCUCCUAGACACACCCAUUGCUCAUGUGUGAGGAAAAACAACAGCUGUGGUUGUGAAAUUAAUUAAGAGCCUUUUGUUAAUUAUACAUUAUUUAUUGAAUGUGUUAAAUGUCAAUAUCCUCAAACACUCCCACUUCUCAGUUCAGACAAUGGCUGCCUCCUGAUAUGCUGUUGUCUCUGAGAGAAGACCGGGAGGGGUGGGGCAGCUGGCUGCUAGGAGGAGGGAUGUGGUCUUUUGUGCGUUCCGUUGGGUUAAGAACUGCAAUGCUGCUGGGUUUUUUCACACUCAACAGUUUCACGUGUGUAUCAAGAAAGGUCCACUACCCAAAGGACAUCCAGCCAACUUGACACAACUGUGGGAUGCAUUGAAGUUGACAUGGGCCAGCAUCCAUGUGGAACACAUUCAACACCUUGUAGAGUCCAUGCCCCAACGAAUUGAGGCUGUUCUGAAGGUAAAAGGGGGAUGCAACUCAAUAUUAGAACACUAUGUGAGCAAAAUGUUCAGAACAUCAAAUUAAAUUUUGAUUGUGUCACUGAUCUACACAAAAUACCCCAUAAGGUCAAAGUGGAAUUUGUUUUUUAGAAAUAUAAAAAUAAUUUCAAUAAGUAUUCAGCCUAUUUGUUAUGACUUGCUUAACAAACAUGACAUCUAUAGUGUGAAGUGUCUUGGACACACCCACAAUGUACCUGAGCAAAGAGGAUUUUGCUUGGGAAGUUGCUUGGACUAACUGUGUGCAAAAAUGGUGUUUAACAUUUUUGAAUGACUACCCCAUCUCUGUACCCCACACAUACAAAGGUCCCUCAGUUGAGCAGUGAAUUUCAAGCACAGACUCAAGAGCAAAGACUAGGGAGGUUUUCCA
This is a long non-coding RNA of Oncorhynchus tshawytscha (Chinook salmon), 2922 nucleotides long. RefSeq lists it as uncharacterized. The record is from RefSeq and is a predicted model, not a curated record. The transcript has 12 exons. Lineage: Eukaryota; Metazoa; Chordata; Actinopteri; Salmoniformes; Salmonidae.